RNAcentral lists this ribosomal RNA (478 nucleotides) under uncultured bacterium. Its description in RNAcentral is "partial 16S ribosomal RNA". It matches the Rfam family "Bacterial small subunit ribosomal RNA", at positions 28 to 523 of the family's 1533-position model. The record is from RNAcentral.
GACGAACGCUGGCGGCGUGCUUAACACAUGCAAGUCGAACGGUAAGGCCCUUCGGGGUACACGAGUGGCGAACGGGUGAGUAACACGUGGGUGAUCUGCCCUGCACUUCGGGAUAAGCAUGGGCAACUGGGGCUAAUACCGGAUAGGACCACUGCCUGCAUGGGUGGUGGUGCAAAGCUUUUGCGGUGUGGGAUGGGCCCGCGGCCUAUCAGCUUGUUGGUGGGGUGAUGGCCUACCAAGGCGUCGACGGGUAGCCGGCCUGAGGGGGUGACCGGCCACACUGGGACUGAGAUACGGCCCAGACUCCUACGGGAGGCAGCAGUGGGGAAUAUUGCACAAUGGGCGCAAGCCUGAUGCAGCGACGCCGGGUGAGGGAUGACGGCCUUCGGGUUGUAAACCUCUUUCAGCACCGACGAAGCGCAAGUGACGGUAGGUGCAGAAGAAGGACCGGCCAACUACGUGCCAGCAGCCGCCGUAA